AUUAAAUGUUCUUACAUAUGAAAGAAUAGAAUUAUUCUAUCAUGCUAUAAAAUUAUAAUUUUAAUGUGAUUCCCACCCACAAAAGUCUACAGAUUUAAUUAUUUUCUGGAGGUAAAGAAGUCCAUAUGCUCAAUGAGUAAGCUGUUUUCUGUUACCAUAGCUGUGUACCUCAGACUGGGUAAUUUGUAAUGAAUAAAGGUUUAUUCAGCCUGGGGUUCUGGAGGUCCAAGGUCGAGGGCUCCCACUUGGUGAGGGAACCACCAUCUUCCUGGUGGGGCUACUCUGCACAGUCCCAAGGCAGAGGUGCAUACAGAAAAUGGGCCAACUGGCUUUUCUGAGAGUUCCACUGUACAGAUGACUCAGUAAGCCAUUAAUCUAUGGCUGAAUUACUCCACUCAUGACCUAACCGUCACUUAAAAGACUACAACACUACCAAGUAUAUAAUAUUUCAUAAAGGAAAUUAAAUUUCAAUUUGAGUUGUGAUGUGGAUGUUGAAACCAUAGUAGUUUGUAAAAAAAAAAAGUAAAUGUAGCCAGUGAAACCCUGAAAUAUGAAGUCACUGUGGUCCAGCUAGCUCUAAAAUAUAAACCCUUUAUGAUGAAAAGAUUAUAAUGGUGUUGGUGCACCUCCCAUGACCGCGGCAUCCUCCCGUGGGCAGGUCGAGGGGUGAGCAGGCCUCACCUUCCCGCCAAGCCUGCCCUAAGCGUCCCUCGUGCUGAGCAGCAGGAGUGUGCGGUGCAGCAGGGGCAGCCCGCUCGGGACCCCUCCUGUCUCUCGGGAGCUACUCCUAUUCUCCAUUCCUAUUCCCCAAUAAACCUUUCCUACGCUUAAAAAAAAAUGUAUUUUCAGUUUUUUAAUUUAGUGACACUACUUCAAUUAAAUUGUUUUUGUUUUGUUUUGUUUUGUUUUUGAGACAGAAUCUCAUUCUGUAAUUCUGGCUGGCCUUGAACUCACUAUGUAGUCCCUGCUGGCUUUGAAUUCACAGUGAUUUUCCUGCCUCAGCCUCCUGAAUGCUGAGAUUACAGGAGUGUGCCACCACUCUUGGUUUAAGCUUCUUGUUUACCAGUAACCACAGGAUUUGUGUCUAACUUUCAAUGCCAGUGAGUGAUGACUGUCACAGUGCAGUUAAAUGGCCUUCUUGCUGUUCAGUUGUUACAGGCCUAAGAUUGUUAGAGCAUCUUUGAAUGUCUCAUCUUUUUAAUUUUUUAAUUUUUUUUUUUGGUACCAGGGAUCGAACUCGGGUCCUUGCGCUUGCACACAGUUGGUGAAACCACUGAGCUAAAUCCCUGACCCGUUUCAUCUUUUUUAGAUUGUCAAUAAGUACAGUUUGUCAAAUAACUUUUGAG
RNAcentral lists this long non-coding RNA (1346 nucleotides) under Heterocephalus glaber (naked mole-rat). RNAcentral's name for it is "lncRNA (ENSHGLG00100052222.1)". Lineage: Eukaryota; Metazoa; Chordata; Mammalia; Rodentia; Bathyergidae. The record is from RNAcentral.